This 1098-nucleotide long non-coding RNA is filed under the name Chinchilla lanigera (long-tailed chinchilla). Its description in RNAcentral is "lncRNA (ENSCLAG00000023862.1)". The record is from RNAcentral. Lineage: Eukaryota; Metazoa; Chordata; Mammalia; Rodentia; Chinchillidae.
GGAAGUUCUACCAGUGCUGGAAGUUCUAUCAGAGUGCAGAGAGACACCAGAAGCACUCAGUAUUGGUGCUCUGAUACAGAGGAAAGAAGAAGAAGAUGGAAGAAGAAGACCAAGGUGAGGAGAAGCCCAUGCUUCAGGUCCCGACUCCUGAGAGCCCAGUGGAGACCGCCAGACGAACAGGAGCCAUACCCUGCAGGACUCCCACAGCUGUGCAGAUGAAGACUCCAGGAGCUGUGCAGAAGACUCCAGCAGUUGUGCAGAAGAAGACUGCAGGAGCUGUGCUUAAGACUCCAAAGAGCAUUCAGUUUAGUGGGAGCUGAGAAGGACCACAAAGGACUGCAGCUAUGACCCAAGACCCUCUCUUAUACCUGGUGGAUUCUGAACUAUAAGUCCCAAAUGUACUCUUCAGGUAGUACCACAACGAAGCACGUAUGGCUUCUUUAAUGAUGCAUUUUGAAUUGGUUUCAUUCUGUAAUUGCAUUUAUAUUGCCUCAUCUUUAUCUUUUCAUACUUCUAAAUUUAUGUGAUUUCCAGUUUUCUGAGGGUCUGCUACUGUACAUUCAUUCCCAUAGUGUACUCAAAAAAAACCAGCACAACUACUGCCAACUUGAGGGAUGGGAGCACAGAUCUCUCCCAAAGCUAUUUAGACUAUAUAAUGAUGACAAUUCUAGAGGGAAAAUCACCGAGAGUACGCUUCAUGCACUUCACUCUCUAAUCACACCUGCUUCAACUGAAAGAGGAACCACAGUCAUGGAAAUCAUACUGAGCCAAACAUCCCAGACUUCUAACAUGGUAUGUAUACUCAGCAAUCACCAAGCUAAGCUGAGCAGCCUCAGUUCACGUACACGAUUUAGGACCCUGGGAAUUAAUCUCAGCCAAAGAUAGCACAUCAAUAGUCUGGGACAAAUUCUCAUGAGAGAGCUGCUCACUAGGAAGAUCCUCCUAUAAAUGUGGGAAAAGGUACCAUCCCAACAAAUACGCAAACCUCAACUCAGAACACGAAAAUACACAGAAAAAAACCACAACACUGUUCCUCCACAAGUUUUAGAUUCCUAAUAAGUUAUAAGAUCCUAAAGUGAAAGAGGGACUAUGGUGCGG